GAGGGUGUAGCUCAAGUGGUAGAGCGCAUGCUUAGCAUGCAUGAGGUCCUGGGUUCAAUCCCCUGUACCUCCA
Molecule: transfer RNA, 73 nt
Filed under: Camelus bactrianus (Bactrian camel)
Lineage: Eukaryota; Metazoa; Chordata; Mammalia; Artiodactyla; Camelidae
Also listed under: 2 other names
Rfam family: tRNA
About the family: Transfer RNA (tRNA) molecules are approximately 80 nucleotides in length.
Source: Rfam by way of RNAcentral